Molecule: small nuclear RNA, 107 nt
Organism: Zalophus californianus (California sea lion)
Lineage: Eukaryota; Metazoa; Chordata; Mammalia; Carnivora; Otariidae
Source: Ensembl
GUACUCACUACAGCAGCACAUAUACUAAAAUUGGAAUGACACAGAGAAGAUUAGCAUGGCCCCCGCUCAAGGACAACAUGCAAAUGCGUGAAGCAGUCCGUAUUUUU